RNAcentral lists this ribosomal RNA (253 nucleotides) under uncultured bacterium. RNAcentral's name for it is "partial 16S ribosomal RNA". It matches the Rfam family "Bacterial small subunit ribosomal RNA", at positions 524 to 776 of the family's 1533-position model. The record is from RNAcentral.
UACAGGGGGUGCAAACGUUGCUUGGAAUCAUUGGGCGUAAAGCGCACGUAGGCGGUUCGUUAUGUCGGAUGUGAAAGCCCUUGGCUUAACCGAGGAAGUGCAUCCGAAACUGGCGAGCUAGAGUACGAAAGAGGAUCGCGGAAUUCCCGGUGUAGAGGUGAAAUUCGUAGAUAUCGGGAGGAACACCGGUGGCGAAGGCGGCGAUCUGGGUCGAUACUGACGCUGAGGUGCGAAAGCGUGGGGAGCAAACAGG